UUUUUUUAAUAUUUAUUUAUUUUAGUUUUCGGCGGACACAACAUCUUUGUUUGUAUGUGGUGCUGAGGAUCGAACCCGGGCCGCACGCAUGCCAGGCGAGCACGCUACCGCUUGAGCCACAUCCCCAGCCCGCCAGAAUGAUCUUGUCAAAUAAAAAACAGAUGAUUAUUCUCUUCCUUAAAACCUUUCAGCAACUUCCUUUUUAAAGUAAAAGGUUUUCCUUGGGCAUUAUAGGCUUGGCCUCUACCCCACAUACCAUUGUCUUGAGACAAAAUAACCCCUUUUACCCACCUUAGUUUCUAAGUCACACUGGCCCACCUUUCAAAGCCUUGUUACCAAACUUUUUCCUGUCUCAAGGUCUCCUUUCUACCUGGAAGGACCUACCUUUUCACCAUUUUAGGGUUUACUUACCCCCACCCCCACUAAUAGAGAUCAAACCCAGAGCCUGGUGCCUGCAAAGUAAGUGCUCUACCACUGAGCUACAUCUUCAGCUCAGUGGCCCACUUGUCCUUUAGGUCUUACUUUUAGGACCAAGCAUCAGAGUGCCUUCCCAGACCACCUGUUGCAAAUUUGAAGCCCCCCGCCCCGCCAUCUUUCUAGUUUGUAUAUAUUGUGGUAUUUAUCCUGAUUUCUUUACUCAUUUAUUGAAUAUUCUUGAAAUUGUAGAGGUGGGUGAGGAAAUUAUCUACCUUACUAAUACAUAGCCCAGUGCCUAGAAACAACAUGAGACCUGUAAUGGUAUUUAAGAACAUAUGUAAGCUAUUAUUUGAAAUGAUGUGCUUUUGUUGAGAAUAUACUGCUCCAUUCACAGCUUCAGUAGCCAUGAGUCAUGUGAGAAACUGGGUGCCAGCUCAGGGCUAGGCUAGCAUAGAACCUGAGUUCAUGGGCUGGAAUCCUGCAGUUCAGCCACCUAGCUGUCAUGGUAGAGCAGGCCUAUAAUCCCAGCGACUUGUGAGGCUGAGAGGAGGACUGAAAGUUCAAAGCCAGCCUCAACAACAGACCUUAUUUCAAAAUUUAUAAGGACUGGGGAUGUAGCUCAGUGGUAGAGGUCCCCUAGGUUCAAAAAGUUGAGCAAUCAAG
Molecule: long non-coding RNA, 1080 nt
Filed under: Marmota monax (woodchuck)
Lineage: Eukaryota; Metazoa; Chordata; Mammalia; Rodentia; Sciuridae
Source: RNAcentral